AGAGACAGCAGUAGCCGCGGUAAUACGUAGGUGGCAAGCGUUGUCCGGAAUUAUUGGGCGUAAAGGGCUCGCAGGCGGUUUCUUAAGUCUGAUGUGAAAGCCCCCGGCUCAACCGGGGAGGGUCAUUGGAAACUGGGAAACUUGAGUGCAGAAGAGGAGAGUGGAAUUCCACGUGUAGCGGUGAAAUGCGUAGAGAUGUGGAGGAACACCAGUGGCGAAGGCGACUCUCUGGUCUGUAACUGACGCUGAGGAGCGAAAGCGUGGGGAGCGAACAGGAUUAGAUACCCCAGUAGUCCCUGUCUCUUAUAC
RNAcentral lists this ribosomal RNA (309 nucleotides) under uncultured bacterium. RNAcentral describes it as "partial 16S ribosomal RNA". It matches the Rfam family "Bacterial small subunit ribosomal RNA", at positions 504 to 807 of the family's 1533-position model. The record is from RNAcentral.